GUCAACGGUCAAACUGCGCAUGUAACUACCGGUUCUCGUCCGAUCACCGAAGUCAAGUUGCGUUGGGCACGGUUAGUACUUAGAUGGGUGACCGCUUGGGAACUCCGUGUGCUGUUGGCA
Molecule: non-coding RNA, 120 nt
Organism: Habropoda laboriosa
Lineage: Eukaryota; Metazoa; Arthropoda; Insecta; Hymenoptera; Apidae
Source: Rfam